CCUACGGGAGGCAGCAGUGGGGAAUAUUGGACAAUGGGGGGAACCCUGAUCCAGCGACGCCGCGUGAGUGAAGAAGUAUUUCGGUAUGUAAAGCUCUAUCAGCAGGGAAGAACAAUGACGGUACCUGACUAAGAAGCACCGGCUAAAUACGUGCCAGCAGCCGCGGUAAUACGUAUGGUGCAAGCGUUAUCCGGAUUUACUGGGUGUAAAGGGAGCGCAGGCGGCGCGUUAAGCCUGGUGUGAAAGUCCGCGGCCCAACCGCGGGACUGCAUUGGGAACUGGCGCGCUGGAGUGCCGGAGGGGUAGGCGGAAGUCCUAGUGUAGCGGUGAAAUGCGUAGAUAUUAGGAGGAACACCAGUGGCGAAGGCGGCCUACUGGACGGUGACUGACGCUGAGGCUCGAAAGCGUGGGGAGCAAACAGGAUUAGAUACCCCAGUAGUC
This 441-nucleotide ribosomal RNA is filed under the name uncultured bacterium. RNAcentral describes it as "partial 16S ribosomal RNA". It matches the Rfam family "Bacterial small subunit ribosomal RNA", at positions 338 to 795 of the family's 1533-position model. The record is from RNAcentral.